CCUACGGGUGGCAGCAGUGAGGAAUAUUGGUCAAUGGACGAGAGUCUGAACCAGCCAAGUAGCGUGAAGGAUGACUGCCCUAUGGGUUGUAAACUUCUUUUAUAUGGGAAUAAAACGUUCCACGUGUGGGAUUUUGUAUGUACCAUAUGAAUAAGGAUCGGCUAACUCCGUGCCAGCAGCCGCGGUAAUAAGUAGGAUCCGAGCGUUAUCCGGAUUUAUUGGGUUUAAAGGGAGCGUAGGUGGAUUGUUAAGUCAGUUGUGAAAGUUUGCGGCUCAACCGUAAAAUUGCAGUUGAAACUGGCAGUCUUGAGUACAGGAGAGGUGGGCGGAAUUCGUGGUGUAGCGGUGAAAUGCUUAGAUAUCACGAAGAACUCCGAUUGCGAAGGCAGUUCACUGGACUGCAACUGACACUGAGGCUCGAAAGUGUGGGUAUCAAACAGGAUUAGAUACCCGGGUAGUC
This 460-nucleotide ribosomal RNA is filed under the name uncultured bacterium. RNAcentral's name for it is "partial 16S ribosomal RNA". It matches the Rfam family "Bacterial small subunit ribosomal RNA", at positions 338 to 795 of the family's 1533-position model. The record is from RNAcentral.